Felis catus (domestic cat) is the source of this 85-nucleotide transfer RNA. It matches the Rfam family "tRNA". Rfam says of the family: Transfer RNA (tRNA) molecules are approximately 80 nucleotides in length. Their secondary structure includes four short double-helical elements and three loops (D, anti-codon, and T loops). Further hydrogen bonds mediate the characteristic L-shaped molecular structure. tRNAs have two regions of fundamental functional importance: the anti-codon, which is responsible for specific mRNA codon recognition, and the 3' end, to which the tRNAs corresponding amino acid is attached (by aminoacyl-tRNA synthetases). tRNAs cope with the degeneracy of the genetic code in two manners: having more than one tRNA (with a specific anti-codon) for a particular amino acid; and 'wobble' base-pairing, i.e. permitting non-standard base-pairing at the 3rd anti-codon position. The record is from Rfam. Lineage: Eukaryota; Metazoa; Chordata; Mammalia; Carnivora; Felidae.
GCCUGGGUGGCUCAGUCGGUUAAGCGUCUGACUUCAGCUAAGGUCAUGAUCUCACAGUUCAUGGGUUGGAGUCCCAUAUCGGGCU